ACAAAUUCGUUGAUGAGAAAAAGUAGUGUUUCAAUUUGUUCUACAGAGAGCCGGCAUGUUGGUGGAAGUCGGUGUACAGAUGUUACAUGAACUCCCCUCUGAGAAGGUUGGCUGAACAAUAAACAGUAAGCUGAUCCGGUGUCUUCCGUUAAAAAGAACACGUAUGAUUGUACGUUGCUGAGAGCUAUUGAAUGUUUUUCAAUAGAAUUAGGGUGGUAUUCGCGGUUAACCCCGUCCCUUUU
Molecule: non-coding RNA, 242 nt
Filed under: Lysinibacillus odysseyi
Lineage: Bacteria; Bacillati; Bacillota; Bacilli; Caryophanales; Bacillaceae
Description: T-box sequence
Rfam family: T-box leader
About the family: Uncharged tRNA acts as the effector for transcription antitermination of genes in the T-box leader family. T-boxes are found upstream of many aminoacyl-tRNA synthetase genes and some amino acid biosynthetic genes usually in Gram-positive bacteria.
Source: RNAcentral